This 370-nucleotide ribosomal RNA is filed under the name uncultured prokaryote. RNAcentral describes it as "bacterial SSU rRNA". It matches the Rfam family "Bacterial small subunit ribosomal RNA", at positions 524 to 896 of the family's 1533-position model. The record is from RNAcentral.
UACGAAGGAUCCAAGCGUUGUCCGGAUUUACUGGGUUUAAAGGGUGCGUAGGCGGGGAAUUAAGUCAGUGGUGAAAGCUGGUAGCUCAACUAUCAAAUUGCCAUUGAAACUGAUUCUCUCGAGUACGGUUGAGGUAGCUGGAAUGUAACAUGUAGCGGUGAAAUGCUUAGAUAUGUUACAGAACACCGAUUGCGAAGGCAGGCUACUAAACCGUAACUGACGCUGAGGCACGAAAGCGUGGGGAUCAAACAGGAUUAGAUACCCUGGUAGUCCACGCUGUAAACGUUGCAUACUCGGUCUUAGCGAUAUACAGUUAGGACCUAAGCGAAAGCAUUAAGUAUGCCACCUGGGGAGUACGGUCGCAAGAUUG